This is a non-coding RNA of Phalacrocorax carbo (great cormorant), 936 nucleotides long. The record is from RefSeq and is a predicted model, not a curated record. NCBI's taxonomy places the organism in Eukaryota, Metazoa, Chordata, Aves, Suliformes, Phalacrocoracidae.
ACACAGAGCCCUUCCCGGCUGUGGACAGGAGCUGCCUCGGCUGAAGCUGGAGACGCCAACGAAAGGUAAAGCAGAAGAAACUGAAGGCGCUCUGGCUGCCAGCUGCCUUCCUGCCGCAGGCAAGAGAGAGCCUGUCCCUGCAGGUGGAGGACGGCCUAGAGUCUGGAGCUGCAGAAGAGGCAGGGCGGAGAGGAGGGGAAAGAAGCAUCUGAACGGCUAAAUUGUGCCAGCAGCGCUGAGAGCGAGAGUCGCGAUGUCUUCUCAGUGUCUCGUGAUGCUCAAGAGAUGCCCCCCGGCCCGGGUUUGCCUGCCGGUCGUUAAGCGUGGUGAAGGUAAGGGGCCAUCCCUCUGCCUGGGGGCUCCCGGCUCUGUCUCCAGCGGGUGCCCCGCAGGUGCGGCCGCGAGGGCUGCCUGGUGGGGAGAGUCGGGGCCCCCAGGGACCGGGGCUGUUUGUCGCCCCGGGGAGCCCAUCCCAGCGCGGGAGCGUGGCCGAGCAGAGCCCGAGAGAGACAUGACACUGUCCUCUGGCACGCUCCUGCUUUGCCGUGGGAUGGCCGCUAGCCUGCGGACAGGGGCUGGGGGGGCUGCCCCACCUUUUAGAUUUUAGCAGAGCUCCCCUUUUUUUGGGGAGUGGGUGUGUGUACCUUUGCAAAUGACACUCUUAAUGAGCUGCAGGUUGGAGCAGAUUCCCUUGUUUAGUGCCCUUCUUGGGGGUGAAUCACAGAAUCUCAGGUUGGAGGGGACCUCAGGGAUCACCUAGUCCAACCUUACUAUAAUAAAAUAGGGGGAGUCCUGGGGGGGUGAUGAUGUCAUGCAGGGCACCCCAGUGUCACUGGGGGAGCUGAUAAUGCAUCAGAGGAGCAGGUCAGUGUGUGUGUGGGUCAUCUAGGGGUUCCCCCCCUCAAAAAGGGGGGUUGCAGCCCAAAAACGCCUGAA